This 61-nucleotide transfer RNA is filed under the name Phygasia ornata. RNAcentral describes it as "tRNA-Arg". The record is from RNAcentral. Lineage: Eukaryota; Metazoa; Arthropoda; Insecta; Coleoptera; Chrysomelidae.
AAAUAAGAAGCAAUUUUGCAUUUAGUUUCGACCUAAAUUUUUGAUUUAUAAUCCUUAUUUA